This is a long non-coding RNA of Fukomys damarensis (Damara mole-rat), 335 nucleotides long. RefSeq lists it as uncharacterized. The record is from RefSeq and is a predicted model, not a curated record. The transcript is spliced from 4 exons. Lineage: Eukaryota; Metazoa; Chordata; Mammalia; Rodentia; Bathyergidae.
AGGCUCUCUAAAAAUGACUCCUCAUGAAUUCCAGGAUCUACUCCUAUGAACAGCUAUAAAAUACGGGAGGUGUGAGCACUGUGGCUGAGAGUCAGAAAACCUGCCAUCUACACAAGUGAUCAAUGUGUGAUUUGGGGUUUGAAGAUGCUUCAAGAAUAUUCCCAGGAAAUAUCUCUUUAUGAUUAUUCAACUAAUGUGGAGCUCUCAACCAAAAGGUGCAGUGCCAGAUUUCUAAUCUGAGAAGAGAUUAUUCCAUCAAAUUCAAGAAAGACAGAUAAGGCCAAAUAGAUAAGCAAACAGCUAACCAGACAUGAUAUGCAAAAAUAAAAUGAAAC